This is a long non-coding RNA of Perognathus longimembris pacificus (Pacific pocket mouse), 866 nucleotides long. RefSeq lists it as uncharacterized. Lineage: Eukaryota; Metazoa; Chordata; Mammalia; Rodentia; Heteromyidae. The record is from RefSeq and is a predicted model, not a curated record. The transcript has 3 exons.
UUCAUAUGUAGUAUAAAUUGUCACAUAGAACUAAUUUUUGUUUCUGAAGCUGAAGUGAUGUUUUCCAAGGGCCUAACCUUGUGUGACUCCUUUGUCUUCUAGCUUUCUCUGUUAGUCUGUGUCUGCUAUGUCUCAGAGAGAUCCAGGCCAAUUUUCCCUAGGAACUUCCUUCGCCUUACAUACAAUCCAUGAUUUCUCAUAAUUUCUAGUAUCUGUGGAAAACGCUCCCUUCUCUAAGUAAUCCUUUCUGUCAUUUAUUAACAUGGAACCAAUUUGAGCUGUUGGGUCCAAGCCUAUGGAGUUCAAGUUUUAAGGGUUGGAUUUUGACUAUCUUCAAAGCUUGAGACCUAUAAAAUGAAGCCAUUUGAAGGAGCAGAUGAACACAGCUGCGAGCACACACUAUGGGGGAUGGGAUCUUGAGCUCUAGAGAAGAGUUGAAGAUAAGGAGAGCAGAAGUAUCUGUCAGAUCAAGCAGACAGACGGGGAGCACUUGUUGGAAUAUACAUGAUUUCAAGAGGAAUAAUGUUUGCAGUCUUGAGUUUAAAGUCCAGAAGUAGUCCUCAGAGGUCACGUAGGUCAACCACCUCAUUUUACAGAUCAUUACAAUUGCUUGUCAGCCCUGCCCUGAGUUUACAUUGCUGCCCACUGACCUUCAGGGACAAAGCCAGAUGGAUCUCUUUAAAUUCGUGCUUUCAGUGAUUUAAACACCUACUGAUCCUUCACAGUGUGCUCUGUGUUCUGAGUGGUUUUGAGCCCUGAGAUAUUUGUCACAAGGGAAACUCUUUUUUAAAAAAACCACAGAAGCCAGUCAGAUGGAACCCCGCUUUGAACUCGAACAGUCUUGUCCUUUGCUAAAAUUUGGUUUU